AUGUUUUACAAACAGCCCUUGUUUCUAUGGGAUUUUAACCACAACUGUUCAUGUUUAUCUCCGACACAUAUUUUUAGGUCACCUGUCAUGAAGUGACACGGUGAGCUUAUGUGAUCGUGUGAUGUCCGUUGUGCGUGCCUGCGUGUGUCCGUGCGUCCGUCCGUCAACUAUUUGUUUGUGUAGACAGUAGAGGUCACAGUUUGCAUCCAAUCUUGAUGAAAUUUGGUCAAAAUGUUUAUCUUGAUGAAAUCCGGUUUGGGAUUGUAUUUGAGUCAUCUGGGGUCAAAAACAAGGUCACUAGGUCAAAUAAUAGAACAACCUUCUGUAGACAAUAGAGGUCACAGUUUUCAUCCAAUCUUUAUGAAAUUUGGUCAGAAUGUUUAUCUUGAUGAAAUCUGGGUUGGGAUUUUAUUUGGGUCAUCUGGGGUCAAAAACUAGGUCACUAGGUCAAAUAAUAGAAAAACCUUGUGUAGACAUUAGAGAUCACAGUUUUCAUCCAACCUUUAUGAAAUUUGGUCAGAAUUCUUGAUGAAAUCUGGGUGGGAUUGUAUUUGGGUCAUCUGGGGUAAAAAUCUAGGUCAAAUAAAUAGAAAAACCUUGUGUUGACAAUAAAGGUCACAGUUUUCAUCCAAUAUUUAUGAACUGUGGUCAGAAUGUUUAUCUUGAUGAAAUCUGGAUUGGGAUUGUAUUUGGGUCAUCUAGAGUCAGGAACUAGGUCACUAGGUCAAAUCAUAGAAAAACAUUGUGUAGACAAUAGAGGUCAUAGUUUUCAUCUGAUCUUAAUGAGUCAGGUGAGCGAUUCAGGGCCAUGAUGGCCCUCUUGUUUAUUAGCUCACCUGAGCGAUAGCUCGGGGUGAGCUAUUGUGAUCACUCAGCGUCCGGCGUCCGUCCGUCUGUCUGUAAACAAUUUGUAAACAUCUUCUUCUACUAAACCAUUGAGCCAAUUUCAACUAAAUUUCAUGUGGAGCAUCCCUAGGUCAUGGGACAAAAGAAUUGAAAAAAAAAAUUUGAUCACAUAACCAAGAUGGCCGCCUUGACCAUAUAUGGUAAAAACCUUAAAAAAUCUUCUUGUCAGAAACCGCUCAUCAGAUUUUCAAAAAAUUUCACAGGGAUGACCUUUGAAGGCUCCCCUGAAAAAGUUGUUCAAAGAAAUUUGAUUCGUCAAAAAACAUGGCCGCAGGAGCUCGUUGAACUUUGCAUGUUUAUUCGUUUUUGCCUAUUUUGUGAAAACUUUCAAAAAUCUUCCACAUUUUUUGUCCGAUCCUUUCCAAAUUUGCACAGUGUCUUUAUAUCAAUGAGGACACGAAAAAUGAGCAUUAUUGGUCCAUGAAGUACAGAAUUACCUCCCCUUGAAUUGAGAAAAUGGUGUUUAUGCAAUAAAGUCCAAAUUUUUCAUCCAAUUCUUUCCAAACUUGUUUAUAUAUCAGAUUAAAGAGAAUAAAAUUUUCUUUAUUA
Molecule: long non-coding RNA, 1455 nt
Organism: Dreissena polymorpha
Lineage: Eukaryota; Metazoa; Mollusca; Bivalvia; Myida; Dreissenidae
Exons: 2
Source: RefSeq, a predicted model, not a curated record